This is a long non-coding RNA of Notothenia coriiceps (black rockcod), 407 nucleotides long. RefSeq lists it as uncharacterized. The record is from RefSeq and is a predicted model, not a curated record. The transcript has 3 exons. NCBI's taxonomy places the organism in Eukaryota, Metazoa, Chordata, Actinopteri, Perciformes, Nototheniidae.
ACCUCUCCACCCUGUGGGCGCUCAGCUUUGCCUGUGCUCGCUCAAGUUGUCACAGCGUUACAAAUGUGCCACAAAACCAACCAAUCGGAGAACUCGAGAAGGUCAAUUGUGAUUGGCUGGUCGUCUCCAAUCAUAUCUUCUAUCUGAGAUGAGAGAGGGAUUUUCGGUUGCCAUCAGGCUGUUGACGUUCUUAUUACACAUCCGUCGUUGACAUUACAGGACAUGACAGACUCGAAUGAAGAGAAUAGCACACCACAGUGUCAGCUCAGCUGAUUUUGGAUUGAUGGCAAAGGGAGAGGGACUUAAGUUAGAGUGAAAAUACAAGCACAAGAACCCCAGGGGGAUUCAAUGGAGCCUGAAGACCUGCAAUGAGACCCUCACCCUGAGCCUGAGUCUCAACUCCAGAG